GAUGAACGCUAGCGGCAGGCUUAAUACAUGCAAGUCGAGGGGCAGCACGGGUAGCAAUACCUGGUGGCGACCGGCAAACGGGUGCGGAACACGUACGCAACCUUCCCAUAACUGGUGAAUAGCCUUUCGAAAGAGAGAUUAAUACACCGUAACAUAACGAAGAGGCAUCUCUUUGUUAUUAUAGGCUUCGGCCGGUUUUG
This 200-nucleotide ribosomal RNA is filed under the name uncultured bacterium. RNAcentral describes it as "partial 16S ribosomal RNA". It matches the Rfam family "Bacterial small subunit ribosomal RNA", at positions 28 to 223 of the family's 1533-position model. The record is from RNAcentral.